UGGGGAAUAUUGCACAAUGGGCGCAAGCCUGAUGCAGCCAUGCCGCGUGUAUGAAGAAGGCCUUCGGGUUGUAAAGUACUUUCAGCGGGGAGGAAGGGAGUAAAGUUAAUACCUUUGCUCAUUGACGUUACCCGCAGAAGAAGCACCGGCUAACUCCGUGCCAGCAGCCGCCGUAAUACGGAGGGUGCAAGCGUUAAUCGGAAUUACUGGGCGUAAAGCGCACGCAGGCGGUUUGUUAAGUCAGAUGUGAAAUCCCCGGGCUCAACCUGGGAACUGCAUCUGAUACUGGCAAGCUUGAGUCUCGUAGAGGGGGGUAGAAUUCCAGGUGUAGCGGUGAAAUGCGUAGAGAUCUGGAGGAAUACCGGUGGCGAAGGCGGCCCCCUGGACGAAGACUGACGCUCAGGUGCGAAAGCGUGGGGAGCAAACAGG
RNAcentral lists this ribosomal RNA (429 nucleotides) under Chloroflexota bacterium. RNAcentral describes it as "Chloroflexi bacterium partial 16S ribosomal RNA". It matches the Rfam family "Bacterial small subunit ribosomal RNA", at positions 355 to 776 of the family's 1533-position model. Lineage: Bacteria; Bacillati; Chloroflexota. The record is from RNAcentral.